AGCGUAGACGGUGUGGCAAGUCUGAUGUGAAAGGCAUGGGCUCAACCUGUGGACUGCAUUGGAAACUGUCAUACUUGAGUGCCGGAGGGGUAAGCGGAAUUCCUAGUGUAGCGGUGAAAUGCGUAGAUAUUAGGAGGAACACCAGUGGCGAAGGCGGCUUACUGGACGGUAACUGACGUUGAGGCUCGAAAGCGUGGGUAGCAAACA
This 207-nucleotide ribosomal RNA is filed under the name uncultured bacterium. RNAcentral describes it as "partial 16S ribosomal RNA". It matches the Rfam family "Bacterial small subunit ribosomal RNA", at positions 568 to 774 of the family's 1533-position model. The record is from RNAcentral.